UGGCUCAGAUUGAACGCUGGCGGCAUGCUUUACACAUGCAAGUCGAACGGUAACGCGGACUUCGGUCUGGCGACGAGUGGCGAACGGGUGAGUAAUGCAUCGGAACGUAUCCAUUUGUGGGGGAUAGCCCGGCGAAAGCCGGAUUAAUACCGCAUAAUCUCUGAGGAGGAAAGUGGGGGACCUUCGGGCCUUACGCUGAUGGAGCGGCUGAUGUCGGAUUAGCUUGUUGGUAGGGUAAAGGCCUACCAAGGCGACGAUCCGUAGCUGGUCUGAGAGGACGACCAGCCACACUGGAACUGAGACACGGUCCAGACUCCUACGGGAGGCAGCAGUGGGGAAUUUUGGACAAUGGGGGCAACCCUGAUCCAGCCAUGCCGCGUGCGGGAAGAAGGCCUUCGGGUUGUAAACCGCUUUCAGACGGAAAGAAACAGUACAAGCUAAUACCUUGUACGAAUGACGGUACCGUCAGAAGAAGCACCGGCUAACUACGUGCCAGCAGCCGCGGUAAUACGUAGGGUGCGAGCGUUAAUCGGAAUUACUGGGCGUAAAGAGUGCGCAGGCGGCUCUCUAAGACAGGUGUGAAAUCCCCGGGCUUAACCUGGGAAUGGCGCUUGUGACUGGAGAGCUAGAGUGUGGCAGAGGGGGAAUGGAAUUCCUGGUGUAGCAGUGAAAUGCGUAGAUAUCAGGAGGAACACCGAUGGCGAAGGCAGUUCCCUGGGCCAACACUGACGCUCAUGCACGAAGCGUGGGGAGCAAACAGGAUAG
This 765-nucleotide ribosomal RNA is filed under the name uncultured bacterium. RNAcentral describes it as "bacterial SSU rRNA". It matches the Rfam family "Bacterial small subunit ribosomal RNA", at positions 20 to 780 of the family's 1533-position model. The record is from RNAcentral.